RNAcentral lists this ribosomal RNA (253 nucleotides) under uncultured bacterium. RNAcentral describes it as "partial 16S ribosomal RNA". It matches the Rfam family "Bacterial small subunit ribosomal RNA", at positions 524 to 776 of the family's 1533-position model. The record is from RNAcentral.
UACAGAGGUCUCAAGCGUUGUUCGGAAUCACUGGGCAUAAAGGGCGUGUAGGCGGGCUUUCAAGUCGGUUGUGAAAUCCCUCAGCUCAACUGAGGAACUGCAUCCGAUACUGUUUGUCUUGAGGACGAGAGGGGAGAGUGGAACUUCUGGUGGAGCGGUGAAAUGCGUAGAUAUCAGAAGGAACGCCGGUGGCGAAAGCGACUCUCUGGCUCGUAACUGACGCUGAAACGCGAAAGCUUGGGUAGCAAACGGG